RNAcentral lists this ribosomal RNA (253 nucleotides) under uncultured bacterium. Its description in RNAcentral is "partial 16S ribosomal RNA". It matches the Rfam family "Bacterial small subunit ribosomal RNA", at positions 524 to 776 of the family's 1533-position model. The record is from RNAcentral.
UACGGAGGGUGCAAGCGUUGUUCGGAAUUAUUGGGCGUAAAGGGUGCGUAGGUGGCGCUGUAAGUCGGGUGUGAAAUCCUGAGGCUUAACCUCGGAACUGCAUUCGAUACUGCGGCGCUUGAGGACUGGAGAGGAGACUGGAAUUCAUGGUGUAGCAGUGAAAUGCGUAGAGAUCAUGAGGAAGACCAGUGGCGAAGGCGGGUCUCUGGACAGUUCCUGACACUGAGGCACGAAGGCCAGGGGAGCAAACGGG